RNAcentral lists this ribosomal RNA (469 nucleotides) under uncultured bacterium. RNAcentral describes it as "partial 16S ribosomal RNA". It matches the Rfam family "Bacterial small subunit ribosomal RNA", at positions 28 to 507 of the family's 1533-position model. The record is from RNAcentral.
GAUGAACGCUGGCGGCGUGCCUAAUACAUGCAAGUCGAACGAGGUGCUUUUGUAGCAAUACGAGAGUAUCCUAGUGGCGAACGGGUGAGUAACGCGUUGGUGACCUACCCCAAAGUGUGGAAUAACAGUCCGAAAGGAUUGCUAAUACCGCAUGUGGUUAUCGGGUUUAGAAACUGAUAACUAAAGGAGCAAUUCGCUUUGGGAGGGACCUGCGUCCCAUCAGCUAGUUGGUGAGGUAAUGGCUCACCAAGGCUACGACGGGUAGGGGACCUGAGAGGGUGACCCCCCACAAUGGAACUGAAACACGGUCCAUACACCUACGGGUGGCAGCAGUAGGGAAUAUUGCACAAUGGGCGAAAGCCUGAUGCAGCAACGCCGCGUGCACGAUGAAGGCCUUCGGGUCGUAAAGUGCUCUUCUGGGAGAUGAGAAAGGACAGUAUCCCAGGAAUAAGUCUCGGCUAACUACGUG